GACGAACGCUGGCGGCGUGCUUAACACAUGCAAGUCGUACGGUAAGGCCCUUUCGGGGGUACACGAGUGGCGAACGGGUGAGUAACACGUGAGUAACCUGCCCACAACUUUGGGAUAACGCUAGGAAACUGGUGCUAAUACUGGAUAUGUGCUCCUGCUGCAUGGUGGGGGUUGGAAAGCUCCGGCGGUUGUGGAUGGACUCGCGGCCUAUCAGCCUGUUGGUGGGGUAGUGGCCUACCAAGGCGGCGACGGGUAGCCGGCCUGAGAGGGUGACCGGCCACAUUGGGACUGAGAUACGGCCCAGACUCCUACGGGAGGCAGCAGUGGGGAAUAUUGCACAAUGGGCGCAAGCCUGAUGCAGCAACGCCGCGUGCGGGAUGACGGCCUUCGGGUUGUAAACCGCUUUCAGCAGGGACGAAGCUUUUUGUGACGGUACCUGCAGAAGAAGCACCGGCUAACUACGUG
Molecule: ribosomal RNA, 465 nt
Filed under: uncultured bacterium
Lineage: Bacteria
Description: partial 16S ribosomal RNA
Rfam family: Bacterial small subunit ribosomal RNA
Source: RNAcentral